RNAcentral lists this ribosomal RNA (497 nucleotides) under uncultured bacterium. RNAcentral's name for it is "partial 16S ribosomal RNA". It matches the Rfam family "Bacterial small subunit ribosomal RNA", at positions 28 to 507 of the family's 1533-position model. The record is from RNAcentral.
GAUGAACGCUGGCGGCGUGCCUAGUACAUGCAAGUCGAGCGAACAGACGAGGAGCUUGCUCCUCUGACGUUAGCGGCGGACGGGUGAGUAACACGUGGAUAACCUACCUAUAAGACUGGGAUAACUUCGGGAAACCGGAGCUAAUACCGGAUAAUAUAUUGAACCGCAUGGUUCAAUAGUGAAAGACGGUUUUGCUGUCACUUAUAGAUGGAUCCGCGCCGCAUUAGCUAGUUGGUAAGGUAACGGCUUACCAAGGCAACGAUGCGUAGCCGACCUGAGAGGGUGAUCGGUCACACUGGAACUGAGACACGGUCCAGACUCCUACGGGAGGCAGCAGUAGGGAAUCUUCCGCAAUGGGCGAAAGCCUGACGGAGCAACGCCGCGUGAGUGAUGAAGGUCUUCGGAUCGUAAAACUCUGUUAUUAGGGAAGAACAAAUGUGUAAGUAACUAUGCACGUCUUGACGGUACCUAAUCAGAAAGCCACGGCUAACUACGUG